AAUUGCCUGGGAUGUUUGACACUUCUCGUAAUUGAGCCACCAUGACAUAAUAGGGAGCUCGGGUUAGUGUGGGAUGUGGCCAAGCCGUUUCGGACGGACGGCCUAAGACCGCCGCAGGGCACCCACCUGGCAAAAUGCUGGGCGUCAAUCGAGGAGAUCGACAUUCCGGGUCUGUU
Molecule: non-coding RNA, 176 nt
Filed under: Clostridiaceae bacterium
Lineage: Bacteria; Bacillati; Bacillota; Clostridia; Eubacteriales; Clostridiaceae
Description: 6S RNA
Rfam family: 6S / SsrS RNA
About the family: E. coli 6S RNA was the first non coding RNA to be sequenced, but its function was unknown until recently.
Source: RNAcentral